This 497-nucleotide ribosomal RNA is filed under the name uncultured bacterium. Its description in RNAcentral is "partial 16S ribosomal RNA". It matches the Rfam family "Bacterial small subunit ribosomal RNA", at positions 28 to 507 of the family's 1533-position model. The record is from RNAcentral.
GAUGAACGCUGGCGGCGUGCCUAAUACAUGCAAGUCGAGCGAACGGACGAGAAGCUUGCUUUUCUGAUGUUAGCGGCGGACGGGUGAGUAACACGUGGAUAACCUACCUAUAUGACUUGGAUAACUUCGGGAAACCGUAGCUAAUACCGGAUAAUAUUUUGAACCGCAUGGUUCAAAAGUGAAUGACGGUCUUGCUGUCUCUUAUAGAUGUAUCCGCGCUGCAUUAGCUAGUUGGUAAGGUAACGGCUUACCAAGGCAACGAUGCAUAGCGGACCUGAGAGGGUGAACGGACACACUGGAACUGAGACACGGACCAGACUCCUACGGGAGGCAGCAGUAGGGAAUCUUCCGCAAUGGGCGAAAGCCUGACGGAGCAACGCCGCGUGAGUGAUGAAGGUCUUCGGAUCGUAAAACUCUGUUAUUAGGGAAGAAAAUAUGUGUAAGUAACUGUGAACAUCUUGACGGUACCUAAACAGAAAGCCACGGCUAACUACGUG